UUCCUGGAAAAGGACAGCUGAGAGGGUGAAACUCCCGUCCGCCUGGUAGAAUGAGUCUUUGUCAACGAGUCGAGUUGUUUGGGAUUGCAGCUCUAAUUUGGUGGUAAAUUCCAUCUAAAGCUAAAUAUUGGUGGGAGACCGAUAGCGUACAAGUACCGUGAGGGAAAGAUGCAAAGAACUUUGAAAAGAGAGUUAAAGAGUACCUGAAAUUGCUGAAACGGAAGCGAAGGAAACCAGUGUUUGUUGGUUCAUAUUUCCCUGGCCACUUGUGGUUUGGGCG
RNAcentral lists this ribosomal RNA (280 nucleotides) under Pseudo-nitzschia fraudulenta. Its description in RNAcentral is "partial 28S ribosomal RNA". It matches the Rfam family "Eukaryotic large subunit ribosomal RNA", at positions 187 to 475 of the family's 3401-position model. The record is from RNAcentral. Lineage: Eukaryota; Bacillariophyta; Bacillariophyceae; Bacillariales; Bacillariaceae.